CAGCAGCCGCGGUAAUACGUAGGUGGCAAGCGUUGUCCGGAAUUAUUGGGCGUAAAGGGCUCGCAGGCGGUUUCUUAAGUCUGAUGUGAAAGCCCCCGGCUCAACCGGGGAGGGUCAUUGGAAACUGGGAAACUUGAGUGCAGAAGAGGAGAGUGGAAUUCCACGUGUAGCGGUGAAAUGCGUAGAGAUGUGGAGGAACACCAGUGGCGAAGGCGACUCUCUGGUCUGUAACUGACGCUGAGGAGCGAAAGCGUGGGGGGCGAACAGGAUUAGAUACCCCUGUAGUCCCUGUCUCUUAUAC
RNAcentral lists this ribosomal RNA (301 nucleotides) under uncultured bacterium. Its description in RNAcentral is "partial 16S ribosomal RNA". It matches the Rfam family "Bacterial small subunit ribosomal RNA", at positions 509 to 807 of the family's 1533-position model. The record is from RNAcentral.